UGGGGAAUCUUAGACAAUGGGGGCAACCCUGAUCUAGCCAUGCCGCGUGAGUGAUGAAGGCCUUAGGGUUGUAAAGCUCUUUCAGCUGGGAAGAUAAUGACGGUACCAGCAGAAGAAGCCCCGGCUAACUCCGUGCCAGCAGCCGCGGUAAUACGGGGGGGGCUAGCGUUGUUCGGAAUUACUGGGCGUAAAGGGCACGUAGGCGGACUGGAAAGUCAGAGGUGAAAUCCCAGGGCUUAACCUUGGAACUGCCUUUGAAACUAUCAGUCUGGAGUUCGAGAGAGGUGAGUGGAAUUCCGAGUGUAGAGGUGAAAUUCGUAGAUAUUCGGAGGAACACCAGUGGCGAAGGCGGCUCACUGGCUCGAUACUGACGCUGAGGUGCGAAAGCGUGGGUAGCAAACA
RNAcentral lists this ribosomal RNA (402 nucleotides) under uncultured bacterium. RNAcentral's name for it is "partial 16S ribosomal RNA". It matches the Rfam family "Bacterial small subunit ribosomal RNA", at positions 355 to 774 of the family's 1533-position model. The record is from RNAcentral.